UCAUUAAAGAGUUCUAUAACUCCCAAACCCAUGUGAACAUACCUAACGUUGCCUCGGCAGGUCGCACCUACCUUGUAGCACCCUACCCUGUAGGGCCUACCCGGGAGGUGCGGGUAAGCCUGCCGGCGGCCCACCAAACUCUGUUUGAUAUUGAAUUCUGAACCUAUAACUAAAUAAGUUAAAACUUUCAACAACGGAUCUCUUGGUUCUGGCAUCGAUGAAGAACGCAGCGAAAUGCGAUAAGUAAUGUGAAUUGCAGAAUUCAGUGAAUCAUCGAAUCUUUGAACGCAUAUUGCGCCCAUUAGUAUUCUAGUGGGCAGGACCGUUCGAGCGUCAUUUCAACCCUUAAGCCUUCGUUGCUUAGUGUUGGGAGCCUACGGCAACGUAGCUCCUCAAAGUUAGUGGCGGAGUUGGUUCACACUCUAGACGUAGUAAUUUUUUAUCUCGCCUAUUAGUUGGACUAAUCCCCUGCCGUAAAACCCCCAAUUUAUCAAGGUUGACCUCGAAUCGGUUCAGACAAACUCGCUAAAUUGAAGCAUCUUAGUCAGCGAAGGAAAAGAAACCAACAGGGAUUGCCCUAGUAACGGCGAGUGAAGCGGCAACAGCUCAAAUUUGAAAUC
RNAcentral lists this ribosomal RNA (620 nucleotides) under fungal endophyte. RNAcentral's name for it is "eukaryotic LSU rRNA". The stretch from base 183 to 336 matches the Rfam family "5.8S ribosomal RNA". Lineage: Eukaryota; Fungi. The record is from RNAcentral.